This 377-nucleotide unclassified non-coding RNA is filed under the name plant metagenome. RNAcentral describes it as "partial contains 5.8S ribosomal RNA, internal transcribed spacer 2, and large subunit ribosomal RNA". The stretch from base 1 to 104 matches the Rfam family "5.8S ribosomal RNA", at positions 51 to 154 of the family's 154-position model. The record is from RNAcentral.
AAAUGCGAUAAGUAAUGUGAAUUGCAGAAUUCAGUGAAUCAUCGAAUCUUUGAACGCACCUUGCGCUCCUUGGUAUUCCUUGGAGCAUGCCUGUUUGAGUAUCAUGAAAUCUUCAAAGUAAAUCUUUUGUUAACUCAAUUGGUUUCUACUUUGGUAUUGGAGGUCUUUGCAGCUUCACACCUGCUCCUCUUUGUUCAUUAGCUGGAUCUCAGUGUUAUGCUUGGUUCCACUCGGCGUGAUAAGUUAUCUAUCGCUGAGGACACUGUAAAAGUUGGCCAAGGUAAAUGCAGAUGAACCGCUUCUAAUAGUCCAUUGACUUGGACAAUACUUUUAUGAUCUGAUCUCAAAUCAGGUAGGACUACCCGCUGAACUUAAGC